GACGAACGCUGGCGGCGUGCUUAACACAUGCAAGUCGAACGGAAAGGCCCUGCUUUUGUGGGGUGCUCGAGUGGCGAACGGGUGAGUAACACGUGAGUAACCUGCCCUUGACUUUGGGAUAACUUCAGGAAACUGGGGCUAAUACCGGAUAGGAGCUCCUGCUGCAUGGUGGGGGUUGGAAAGUUUCGGCGGUUGGGGAUGGACUCGCGGCUUAUCAGCUUGUUGGUGGGGUAGUGGCUUACCAAGGCUUUGACGGGUAGCCGGCCUGAGAGGGUGACCGGCCACAUUGGGACUGAGAUGCGGCCCAGACUCCUACGGGAGGCAGCAGUGGGGAAUAUUGCACACUGGGCGGAAGCGUGAUGCAGCAACGCCGCGUGCGGGAUGACGGCCUUCGGGUUGUAAACCGCUUUCGCCUGUGUCGAAGCGUGAGUGACGGUAAUGGGUAAAGAAGCACCGGCUAACUACGG
This 467-nucleotide ribosomal RNA is filed under the name uncultured bacterium. RNAcentral's name for it is "partial 16S ribosomal RNA". It matches the Rfam family "Bacterial small subunit ribosomal RNA", at positions 28 to 506 of the family's 1533-position model. The record is from RNAcentral.